UACGGAGGGGGCAAGCGUUGUUCGGAAUUACUGGGCGUAAAGGGCGCGUAGGCGGUUUUGCAAGUCAGAGGUGAAAGCCCUGGGCUCAACCUGGGAGGUGCCUUUGAAACUGCGGGACUUGAGUACGGGAGAGGAUGGCGGAAUUCCCAGUGUAGAGGUGAAAUUCGUAGAUAUUGGGAAGAACACCGGUGGCGAAGGCGGCCAUCUGGACCGUAACUGACGCUGAGGCGCGAAAGCGUGGGGAGCAAACAGG
Molecule: ribosomal RNA, 253 nt
Filed under: uncultured bacterium
Lineage: Bacteria
Description: partial 16S ribosomal RNA
Rfam family: Bacterial small subunit ribosomal RNA
Source: RNAcentral